UACGUAGGGGGCAAGCGUUGUCCGGAUUUAUUGGGCGUAAAGAGCGUGUAGGCGGUUUGGUAGGUCCGUUGUGAAAACUCGAGGCUCAACCUCGAGACGCCGAUGGAAACCAUCAGACUAGAGUCCGGAAGAGGGAAGCGGAAUUUCCGGUGUAGCGGUGAAAUGCGUAGAUAUCGGAAGGAACACCAGUGGCGAAAGCGGCUUCCUGGUCCGACACCGACGUUCAGGCACGAAAGCGUGGGGAGCAAACAGG
This 253-nucleotide ribosomal RNA is filed under the name uncultured bacterium. RNAcentral's name for it is "partial 16S ribosomal RNA". It matches the Rfam family "Bacterial small subunit ribosomal RNA", at positions 524 to 776 of the family's 1533-position model. The record is from RNAcentral.